RNAcentral lists this ribosomal RNA (253 nucleotides) under uncultured bacterium. RNAcentral describes it as "partial 16S ribosomal RNA". It matches the Rfam family "Bacterial small subunit ribosomal RNA", at positions 524 to 776 of the family's 1533-position model. The record is from RNAcentral.
UACGAGAGGCCCGAACGUUGUUCGGAUUUACUGGGCUUAAAGAGUUCGUAGGCGGCUUGGAAAGUGGGGUGUGAAAGCCCUCGGCUCAACCGAGGAAUUGCGCUCCAAACUCCCGAGCUUGAGUAGGCUAGAGGUGAGCAGAACAGAUGGUGGAGCGGUGAAAUGCGUUGAUAUCAUCUGGAAUACCGGAGGCGAAGGCGGCUCACUGGGACCUAACUGACGCUGAGGAACGAAAGCUAGGGGAGCAAACAGG